CCAGAAAGUCCUUCUCAAAUUCCACUCUGUCCUCUCCAGUGUCUUCAAAUCCAUGACUUGGAGUUCUUCCUCAUUGAUACCUUUACAAACAUAACUGAGACACCGUGUGGGAGACAUGUGCUGCUCUGUCUGCUCUGGGCCUACUAUCCUGACGUCAACAUUUAAUGGAACCCUCCUUCAAGCUGCAUUGCUAGAAGCUAAGUGCCCAGUCUCUAUGGGUUUCUCCUGCCAAGGUAUAUACAACCUACAAUGGAAGACCUGGCCAUCAAGCCCUGCCUGGACCUUUUGGACUACCCAGCAGUAAUAAAU
Molecule: long non-coding RNA, 309 nt
Filed under: Mus spicilegus (steppe mouse)
Lineage: Eukaryota; Metazoa; Chordata; Mammalia; Rodentia; Muridae
Description: lncRNA (ENSMSIG00000016231.1)
Source: RNAcentral